RNAcentral lists this ribosomal RNA (253 nucleotides) under uncultured bacterium. RNAcentral describes it as "partial 16S ribosomal RNA". It matches the Rfam family "Bacterial small subunit ribosomal RNA", at positions 524 to 776 of the family's 1533-position model. RNAcentral also lists the same sequence under 1 other name. The record is from RNAcentral.
UACGUAGGGAGCAAGCGUUGUCCGGAAUCAUUGGGCGUAAAGCGCGCGUAGGUGGCUUCGUAAGUCCGUUGUGAAAGUCAAAGGCUCAACCUUUGAAAGCCGAUGGAUACUGCGGAGCUAGAGUACGGAAGAGGCGAGUGGAAUUCCUGGUGUAGCGGUGGAAUGCGCAGAUAUCAGGAGGAACACCAAUAGCGAAGGCAGCUCGCUGGGACGUUACUGACACUGAGGCGCGAAAGCGUGGGGAGCGAACAGG